Molecule: ribosomal RNA, 253 nt
Filed under: Segatella copri DSM 18205
Lineage: Bacteria; Pseudomonadati; Bacteroidota; Bacteroidia; Bacteroidales; Prevotellaceae
Description: Prevotella copri DSM 18205 partial 16S ribosomal RNA
Rfam family: Bacterial small subunit ribosomal RNA
Source: RNAcentral
UACGGAAGGUCCGGGCGUUAUCCGGAUUUAUUGGGUUUAAAGGGAGCGUAGGCCGGAGAUUAAGCGUGUUGUGAAAUGUAGACGCUCAACGUCUGCACUGCAGCGCGAACUGGUUUCCUUGAGUACGCACAAAGUGGGCGGAAUUCGUGGUGUAGCGGUGAAAUGCUUAGAUAUCACGAAGAACUCCGAUUGCGAAGGCAGCUCACUGGAGCGCAACUGACGCUGAAGCGCGAAAGGGCGGGGAGCGAACAGG